AAAGUCCCCUUCGGGGGACAAGUAGAGUGGCGUCCGGGUGAGUAACACGUAGGUAAUCUACCUUCGGGUGGGGAAUAACGCAGGGAAACUUGCGCUAAUACCGCAUAAUGCAGCGGCACCACAUGGUGACAGUUGUUAAAGCGGGGGAUUUUCGAACCUCGCGCCUGAAGAGGAGCCUGCGGCAGAUUAGCUAGUUGGUAAGGUAAUGGCUUACCAAGGCGACGAUCUGUAACCGGCCUGAGAGGGCGGUCGGUCACACUGACACUGACAUACGGGUCAGACUCCUACGGGAGGCAGCAGUCGGGAAUUUUGGGCAAUGGGCGAAAGCCUGACCCAGCAACGCCGCGUGAAGGAUGAAAUCCCUCGGGAUGUAAACUUCGCAAGAAUGGGAAGAAUGAGUAGGGGCUAAUACUCCCUAUGAUGACGGUACCAUUUGUAAGCUCCGGCUAACUCCGUGCCAGCAGCCGCGGUAAUACGGGGGGAGCAAGCGUUGUUCGGAUUUACUGGGCGUAAAGGGCGCGUAGGCGGCCAGCGCAAGUCAGUUGUGAAAUCUCCGGGCUUAACUCGGAACGGUCAACUGAUACUGCGCGGCUAGAGUGCGGAAGGGGCAACUGGAAUUCUCGGUGUAGCGGUGAAAUGCGUAGAUAUCGAGAGGAACACCUGCGGCGAAGGCGGGUUGCUGGGCCGACACUGACGCUGAUGCGCGAAAGCCAGGGGAGCGAACGGGAUUAGAUACCCCGGUAGUCCUGGCCUUAAACGAUGGAUGCUUGGUGUCUGGA
RNAcentral lists this ribosomal RNA (779 nucleotides) under uncultured Pseudomonadota bacterium. RNAcentral describes it as "bacterial SSU rRNA". It matches the Rfam family "Bacterial small subunit ribosomal RNA", at positions 70 to 828 of the family's 1533-position model. The record is from RNAcentral. Lineage: Bacteria; Pseudomonadati; Pseudomonadota.